Molecule: transfer RNA, 71 nt
Filed under: Marmota monax (woodchuck)
Lineage: Eukaryota; Metazoa; Chordata; Mammalia; Rodentia; Sciuridae
Also listed under: 1 other name
Rfam family: tRNA
About the family: Transfer RNA (tRNA) molecules are approximately 80 nucleotides in length.
Source: Rfam by way of RNAcentral
GGGGGUGUAGCUCAGUGGUAGAGUGCAUGCCUAGUGUGCAAGAGGCCUGGGUUCCCGCCCCAGCACUACAA